CCCCUCAAUAUUUAUUCACUCUGUAUCUAUCACUCUCUCCCUCUUUGCAUCUCUUUCUCACAUAAACACUAAACGUGAACUCGAAGAAUUUAUCCAAAUAUUGGGCUUAUUGCUUUUGGAGACCAUAGUCAGCCUCAAAUGGUGAGAACCAUUGGUUUGGCUUGCGUAUAUAAAAGUUUAAGUCCGUGUACGCUCAAAUGCUCAAUGCCUCAUGUGAAAUACUCACAAGGUAAUGAAAUUUUGAAAUUGAUCCCAUAUAACUUCAUACGCCAUGCCUCAACUCGGUGGUUGAAGAGUAGGGGAGCGGGUGGGCUUCGGUGCUUGAAUUUUUCUACAAGUUUGGUGAAUUGGUGCAUACCAUGCCUUAUUUACUACCACCGAAGUACAAUGAGCAAGUGAAUGGCGAAUCUUCUGCAAGUUCUACAAAGUAAUGCACCAGUGUCGAUGAUGUCGUACUCAUUGCUGAGAUGGUAGCUAUCAAGGCAAGGAUGGUUCAAUGUUAGUUAAUUAUAAAAAUUAUUACUUGGCCCUUAACUUGCAACAUUUUUAAGUAACUUCCUAUAUUACAACUACUGUAUUCAAGAACAUUUUGAUAUCUUGACACAUAUGAUGUCAUCAUGUGAACAUUGUUUAACAUUCUUAUAUCUGUAUACACAUUUUAAUAUUCUAUAAGAUGUAAUAUCAUUAAAGAAAA
Long non-coding RNA from Erigeron canadensis, 694 nucleotides. RefSeq lists it as uncharacterized. The record is from RefSeq and is a predicted model, not a curated record. The transcript has 2 exons. NCBI's taxonomy places the organism in Eukaryota, Viridiplantae, Streptophyta, Magnoliopsida, Asterales, Asteraceae.